Molecule: ribosomal RNA, 472 nt
Filed under: Pseudomonas aeruginosa
Lineage: Bacteria; Pseudomonadati; Pseudomonadota; Gammaproteobacteria; Pseudomonadales; Pseudomonadaceae
Description: bacterial SSU rRNA
Rfam family: Bacterial small subunit ribosomal RNA
Source: RNAcentral
UUAGAGUUUGAAUCCUGGCUCAGAUUGAACGCUGGCGGCAGGCCUAACACAUGCAAGUCGAGCGGAUGAAGGGAGCUUGCUCCUGGAUUCAGCGGCGGACGGGUGAGUAAUGCCUAGGAAUCUGCCUGGUAGUGGGGGAUAACGUCCGGAAACGGGCGCUAAUACCGCAUACGUCCUGAGGGAGAAAGUGGGGGAUCUUCGGACCUCACGCUAUCAGAUGAGCCUAGGUCGGAUUAGCUAGUUGGUGGGGUAAAGGCCUACCAAGGCGACGAUCCGUAACUGGUCUGAGAGGAUGAUCAGUCACACUGGAACUGAGACACGGUCCAGACUCCUACGGGAGGCAGCAGUGGGGAAUAUUGGACAAUGGGCGAAAGCCUGAUCCAGCCAUGCCGCGUGUGUGAAGAAGGUCUUCGGAUUGUAAAGCACUUUAAGUUGGGAGGAAGGGCAGUAAGUUAAUACCUUGCUGUUUGAC